This 320-nucleotide long non-coding RNA is filed under the name Rhinopithecus bieti (black snub-nosed monkey). RNAcentral's name for it is "lncRNA (ENSRBIG00000046629.1)". The record is from RNAcentral. Lineage: Eukaryota; Metazoa; Chordata; Mammalia; Primates; Cercopithecidae.
CCGCGGAGCUGUGAGAGUGUGAGGGUCGCAUUCCUCCUGUCUGGACUUUUUCUGUCCUUCUACGCAGCCGUCUCAGCAACGAAAUAGUUUUCUCUGAGCAUGGGAUCUGGGAGGCAUUCUGUUCUUGGAGAAUAACAAGGAGGAGAAUAUCAUUCACUUCAGGCAUAAGACAAUGAACCUCGAAUACUACCCCGGACAACAAGGCUGCUUCAUCAGGACACAAAACUGCCUGUACCAGGACCUCUGAUCUGUGUACAGGUAUGUGAAUGUAUAGAUACAUGUAUUUUUGCUUUAAGAAGUUGGUGUACUGCAUGGUGAGA